AUUUGGGGGGUUUUUUG
Molecule: small RNA, 17 nt
Filed under: Arabidopsis thaliana (thale cress)
Lineage: Eukaryota; Viridiplantae; Streptophyta; Magnoliopsida; Brassicales; Brassicaceae
Description: ATSL181150
Source: RNAcentral